Molecule: ribosomal RNA, 253 nt
Filed under: uncultured bacterium
Lineage: Bacteria
Description: partial 16S ribosomal RNA
Rfam family: Bacterial small subunit ribosomal RNA
Source: RNAcentral
UACGUAGGGUGCAAGCGUUGUCCGGAAUUAUUGGGCGUAAAGAGCUCGUAGGCGGUCUGUCGCGUCUGCUGUGAAAACUCAGGGCUUAACCCUGAGCUUGCAGUGGGUACGGGCAGACUAGAGUGCGGUAGGGGAGACUGGAAUUCCUGGUGUAGCGGUGAAAUGCGCAGAUAUCAGGAGGAACACCGGUGGCGAAGGCGGGUCUCUGGGCCGGUACUGACACUGAGGAGCGAAAGCGUGGGUAGCAAACAGG